This 484-nucleotide ribosomal RNA is filed under the name uncultured bacterium. RNAcentral's name for it is "partial 16S ribosomal RNA". It matches the Rfam family "Bacterial small subunit ribosomal RNA", at positions 28 to 507 of the family's 1533-position model. The record is from RNAcentral.
AUUGAACGCUGGCGGCAUGCUUUACACAUGCAAGUCGAACGGCAGCGCGGGCUUCGGCCUGGCGGCGAGUGGCGAACGGGUGAGUAAUGCAUCGGAACGUGCCCAGUAGUGGGGGGUAGCCCGGCGAAAGCCGGAUUAAUACCGCAUACGACCUGAGGGUGAAAGCGGGGGACCGAAAGGCCUCGCGCUAUUGGAGCGGCCGAUGUCGGAUUAGCUAGUUGGUGGGGUAAAGGCUUACCAAGGCGACGAUCCGUAGCUGGUCUGAGAGGACGACCAGCCACACUGGGGCUGGGACACGGCCCAGACUCCUACGGGAGGCAGCAGUGGGGAAUUUUGGACAAUGGGGGCAACCCUGAUCCAGCCAUGCCGCGUGCGGGAAGACGGCCUUCGGGUUGUAAACCGCUUUUGUUCGGGAAGAAAUCCUCUGGGCUAAUACCCCGGGGGGAUGACGGUACCGGAAGAAUAAGCACCGGCUAACUACGUG